Molecule: transfer RNA, 74 nt
Filed under: Microcaldota archaeon
Lineage: Archaea; Nanobdellati; Microcaldota
Also listed under: 1 other name
Description: Candidatus Micrarchaeota archaeon (hot springs metagenome) tRNA-Arg
Rfam family: tRNA
About the family: Transfer RNA (tRNA) molecules are approximately 80 nucleotides in length. Their secondary structure includes four short double-helical elements and three loops (D, anti-codon, and T loops). Further hydrogen bonds mediate the characteristic L-shaped molecular structure. tRNAs have two regions of fundamental functional importance: the anti-codon, which is responsible for specific mRNA codon recognition, and the 3' end, to which the tRNAs corresponding amino acid is attached (by aminoacyl-tRNA synthetases). tRNAs cope with the degeneracy of the genetic code in two manners: having more than one tRNA (with a specific anti-codon) for a particular amino acid; and 'wobble' base-pairing, i.e. permitting non-standard base-pairing at the 3rd anti-codon position.
Source: RNAcentral
GCCCCCGUAGUAUAACCUGGAUAGUACGCGAGCUUGCGGAGCUUGUAAUGCGGGUUCGAAUCCCGUCGGGGGCG